Molecule: ribosomal RNA, 1355 nt
Filed under: uncultured bacterium
Lineage: Bacteria
Description: bacterial SSU rRNA
Rfam family: Bacterial small subunit ribosomal RNA
Source: RNAcentral
AUUGAACCCUGGCGGCAGGCUUAACACAUGCAAGCCGAACGAUGAUUAUCUAGCUUGCUAGAUAUGAUUAGUGGCGGACGGGUGAGUAACAUUUAGGAAUCUGCCUAGUAGUGGGGGAUAGCUCGGGGAAACUCGAAUUAAUACCGCAUACGACCUACGGGUGAAAGGGGGCGCAAGCUCUUGCUAUUAGAUGAGCCUAAAUCAGAUUAGCUAGUUGGUGGGGUAAAGGCCCACCAAGGCGACGAUCUGUAACUGGUCUGAGAGGAUGAUCAGUCACACCGGAACUGAGACACGGUCCGGACUCCUACGGGAGGCAGCAGUGGGGAAUAUUGGACAAUGGGGGCAACCCUGAUCCAGCCAUGCCGCGUGUGUGAAGAAGGCCUUUUGGUUGUAAAGCACUUUAAGCAGGGAGGAGAGGCUAAUGGUUAAUACCCAUUAGAUUAGACGUUACCUGCAGAAUAAGCACCGGCUAACUCUGUGCCAGCAGCCGCGGUAAUACAGAGGGUGCGAGCGUUAAUCGGAAUUACUGGGCGUAAAGCGAGUGUAGGUGGCUCAUUAAGUCACAUGUGAAAUCCCCGGGCUUAACCUGGGAACUGCAUGUGAUACUGGUGGUGCUAGAAUAUGUGAGAGGGAAGUAGAAUUCCAGGUGUAGCGGUGAAAUGCGUAGAGAUCUGGAGGAAUACCGAUGGCGAAGGCAGCUUCCUGGCAUAAUAUUGACACUGAGAUUCGAAAGCGUGGGUAGCAAACAGGAUUAGAUACCCUGGUAGUCCACGCCGUAAACGAUGUCUACUAGCCGUUGGGGUCCUUGAGACUUUAGUGGCGCAGUUAACGCGAUAAGUAGACCGCCUGGGGAGUACGGCCGCAAGGUUAAAACUCAAAUGAAUUGACGGGGGCCCGCACAAGCGGUGGAGCAUGUGGUUUAAUUCGAUGCAACGCGAAGAACCUUACCUGGUCUUGACAUAGUGAGAAUCCUGUAGAGAUGCGGGAGUGCCUUCGGGAAUUCACAUACAGGUGCUGCAUGGCUGUCGUCAGCUCGUGUCGUGAGAUGUUGGGUUAAGUCCCGCAACGAGCGCAACCCUUUUCCUUAUUUGCCAGCGGGUUAAGCCGGGAACUUUAAGGAUACUGCCAGUGACAAACUGGAGGAAGGCGGGGACGACGUCAAGUCAUCAUGGCCCUUACGACCAGGGCUACACACGUGCUACAAUGGUAGGUACAGAGGGUUGCUACACAGCGACGUGAUGCUAAUCCCAAAAAGCCUAUCGUAGUCCGGAUUGGAGUCUGCAACUCGACUCCAUGAAGUCGGAAUCGCUAGUAAUCGCAGAUCAGAAUGCUGCGGUGAAUACGUUCCCGGGCCU